AAUUAAUCAAUUCAUCAAUUAUUCAAUGUCUUCUAUAUUCAAUUCCUGUCAUGGUGGCUUUCCUAUAAUCAUCUCGAUAACAAUGCAACCCUGAGACCAAAUAUUGGAGCUGGUGAUGUCUGAGCAAGCUUUAUAGAUUCAGGGGACAUGUACAAGAGAGUUCCUUGAAAAGUGUACUGAUAAAAGAAUUUCCUUGGAUCUUCUUCAUCAGGCUCUUAUGCUAAGCCAAAAUCAGCAAUCUUAAGUUGACUUAAAUUUAGUUGAUCAGAAGGGAAAACAAGGA
RNAcentral lists this unclassified non-coding RNA (283 nucleotides) under Hevea brasiliensis (rubber tree). Lineage: Eukaryota; Viridiplantae; Streptophyta; Magnoliopsida; Malpighiales; Euphorbiaceae. The record is from RNAcentral.